UUCAUUCUCCCAUUUUUUUAAUGGAAUAACUAUAAACUAAAACAUGUACGGUUGUAAUGCACACUAGAUUUUGUUCGACUAAAAAUCAUACUAAAUAAAAACCCUAAUACACGCAAGAAUGAGUUGUACCGACUUGUACGUUCCCGGUCACCUAUAAACCUCAUUCUCUCAAGUCUCUCUGCAUAUGCCACUUGUACACUCCGUUUGACUUUUCAAAUUUCGUCAAACGAUUUUGCUCUUCUUUUCUUUGUUGCAUUU
This is a long non-coding RNA of Arabidopsis thaliana (thale cress), 258 nucleotides long. RefSeq annotates it as other RNA. NCBI's taxonomy places the organism in Eukaryota, Viridiplantae, Streptophyta, Magnoliopsida, Brassicales, Brassicaceae. The transcript has a single exon. The record is from RefSeq.